UGGGGAAUAUUGCGCAAUGGGGGGAACCCUGACGCAGCCAUGCCGCGUGAAUGAAGAAGGCCUUCGGGUUGUAAAGUUCUUUCGGUAUUGAGGAAGGUUGAUGUGUUAAUAGCACAUCAAAUUGACGUUAAAUACAGAAGAAGCACCGGCUAACUCCGUGCCAGCAGCCGCGGUAAUACGGAGGGUGCGAGCGUUAAUCGGAAUAACUGGGCGUAAAGGGCACGCAGGCGGUUAUUUAAGUGAGGUGUGAAAGCCCUGGGCUUAACCUAGGAAUUGCAUUUCAGACUGGGUAACUAGGGUACUUUAGGGAGGGGUAGAAUUCCACGUGUAGCGGUGAAAUGCGUAGAGAUGUGGAGGAAUACCGAAGGCGAAGGCAGCCCCUUGGGAAUGUACUGACGCUCAUGUGCGAAAGCGUGGGGAGCAAACAGGAUUAGAUACCCUGGUAGUCCACGCUGUAAACGCUGUCGAUUUGGGGGUUGGGGUUUAACUCUGGCGCCCGUAGCUAACGUGAUAAAUCGACCGCCUGGGGAGUACGGCCGCAAGGUUA
This 547-nucleotide ribosomal RNA is filed under the name uncultured bacterium. RNAcentral's name for it is "bacterial SSU rRNA". It matches the Rfam family "Bacterial small subunit ribosomal RNA", at positions 355 to 896 of the family's 1533-position model. The record is from RNAcentral.